This 279-nucleotide ribosomal RNA is filed under the name uncultured bacterium. RNAcentral's name for it is "partial 16S ribosomal RNA". It matches the Rfam family "Bacterial small subunit ribosomal RNA", at positions 506 to 784 of the family's 1533-position model. The record is from RNAcentral.
UGCCAGCCGCCGCGGUAAUACGGAGGGUGCAAGCGUUGUUCGGAAUUAUUGGGCGUAAAGCGCGUGUAGGCGGUUCGUUAAGUCUGAUGUGAAAGCCCUGGGCUUAACCUGGGAACUGCAUACGAUACUGCUAGGCUAGAGUGUGAUAGAGGGAAGUGGAAUUUCAGGUGUAGCGGUGAAAUGCGUAGAUAUCUGAAGGAACAUCAGUGGCGAAGGCGGCUUCCUGGAUCAACACUGACGCUGAGGUGCGAAAGCGUGGGUAGCAAACAGGAUUAGAUA